CUCAUGUGCUUCAAGGGAUUUUGAUGCUUUACCAGCUCUGAUCAUGGGGCAUGUGGCUCUAGCUGAGGCAUAUCAGAAUGAUCUCAUCCCACUGGCCACAGGAUGUGGCUCAUGGGAAAUGGCAGGUGGAGGAGCUGCUUCUGCCAGCUGGAUCUGCAAUUCGGACAGCACGAAGAGCAUGGAAACGGGGCCAUUACCCAGUUUGCUAAAUUAAAGAAGGCAACCAGUCUCGGCAGGCCAUCAGCUCCACACAGUCACUGCCCUACUGUACAUGCCAACGACCCAUCUGAGGGAUCAGCUUCCCUUUGCUCCCCAAACGAGAGCCUCUGCUCUUGGGCACCUCAGAGAUGCGUGUGUGUGUGUGUGUGUGUGUGUGUGUGUGUGUGUGUGCGCGUGUGUGUGCAUGCAGACUAUUUGGAAAUUCGCUUUUAGAUGGAUUAAUGCUCGGUAAAGCUCUCAUGUUUCUCCAAAGUAUAUCCAGUGAGUAACAGUAGUAUUUUCAAUCAAUAGUAUUGCUUGCUAAAAUAACAGAUCUACAAUAAAGCCUUCUA
Molecule: long non-coding RNA, 551 nt
Filed under: Homo sapiens (human)
Lineage: Eukaryota; Metazoa; Chordata; Mammalia; Primates; Hominidae
Description: HSALNT0258345
Source: RNAcentral